Molecule: unclassified non-coding RNA, 164 nt
Organism: Chelonoidis abingdonii (Abingdon island giant tortoise)
Lineage: Eukaryota; Metazoa; Chordata; Testudines; Testudinidae
Source: Ensembl
UUGAUACACAGGAGUGAAAUCCUCUGUUUAACCAUGGUACAGGUACAGCAUCAACAGAGACAAUACAGGAUUUUCCACAUGGCAGUGCCAAUGUGCCUCAACCUUGUUCUGGAGGCGGCAUUCAAGGAUAGUGCAGCCUCCAUACGAUUCAGUCUUUGGAUUGU